RNAcentral lists this ribosomal RNA (371 nucleotides) under Idiomarina piscisalsi. Its description in RNAcentral is "bacterial SSU rRNA". It matches the Rfam family "Bacterial small subunit ribosomal RNA", at positions 72 to 458 of the family's 1533-position model. Lineage: Bacteria; Pseudomonadati; Pseudomonadota; Gammaproteobacteria; Alteromonadales; Idiomarinaceae. The record is from RNAcentral.
AGAGAAGCUUGCUUCUCUGCUGACGAGCGGCGGACGGGUGAGUAAUACUUGGGAAUUUGCCUUUAGGCGGGGGACAACCACUGGAAACGGUGGCUAAUACCGCAUAAUGUCUACGGACCAAAGUGGGGGACCUUCGGGCCUCACACCUAAGAUGAGCCCAAGCGGGAUUAGCUAGUUGGUGAGGUAAAGGCUCACCAGGGCGACGAUCCCUAGCUGUUCUGAAGGAUGAUCAGCCCACUGGGACUGAGACACGGCCCAACUCCUACGGGAGGCACAGUGGGGAUUUGCCAAUGGGCGCACCCUGAUGCACCAUGCCGCGGUGUGAGAAGGCUUCGGGUUGAAAGCACUUUCGUGGUGAGGAAAGGGUAAUC